RNAcentral lists this ribosomal RNA (407 nucleotides) under uncultured bacterium. Its description in RNAcentral is "partial 16S ribosomal RNA". It matches the Rfam family "Bacterial small subunit ribosomal RNA", at positions 28 to 526 of the family's 1533-position model. The record is from RNAcentral.
GACGAACGCUGGCGGCGUGCCUAAUACAUGCAAGUAGAACGCAGUUGCGAACGGGUGAGUAACGCGUAGGUAACUGCCUCAUAGCGGGGGUUAACUAUUGGAAACGAUAGCUAAUACCGCAUACUGUGAGAUGUACCUGCGUUGUUUUUGCUAGUUGGUGGGGGAAAGGCUCACCAAGGCGACGAUACAUAGCCGAGCUGAGAGGGAGAACGGGCAAAACGGGACUGGGAAAAGGGCCAGGACUCGUAGGGAGGGAGGAGUAGGGGAACUUCGGAAAUGGGCGGAAGUCUGAACGAGCAAAGCCGGGGGGGUGGAGGAGGGUUUCGGGUCGGAAAGCUAUGUUGUUAGAGAAGCGGUAACUAAACAAAAAGGGCCGGCUAACUACGUGCCAGCAGCCGCGGUAAUUC